AGCCAGACUCCUACGGGAGGCAGCAGUGGGGAAUAUUGGGCAAUGGGCGCAAGCCUGACCCAGCAACGCCGCGUGAAGGAAGAAGGCUUUCGGGUUGUAAACUUCUUUUAAGAGGGAAGAGUAGAAGACGGUACCUCUUGAAUAAGCCACGGCUAACUACGUGCCAGCAGCCGCGGUAAUACGUAGGGGGCAAGCGUUAUCCGGAUUUACUGGGUGUAAAGGGGGCGCAGACGGCGAUGCAAGCCAGGAGUGAAAGCCCGGGGCCCAACCCCGGGACUGCUCUUGGAACUGCGUGGCUGGAGUGCAGGAGGGGCAGGCGGAAUUCCUGGUGUAGCGGUGAAAUGCGUAGAUAUCAGGAGGAACACCGGUGGCGAAGGCGGCCUGCUGGACUGCAACUGACGUUGUGGCUCGAAAGUGUGGGGAGCAAACAGGAUUAGAUACCCCUGUA
RNAcentral lists this ribosomal RNA (448 nucleotides) under uncultured bacterium. RNAcentral's name for it is "bacterial SSU rRNA". It matches the Rfam family "Bacterial small subunit ribosomal RNA", at positions 329 to 792 of the family's 1533-position model. The record is from RNAcentral.